ACUACGGGUGGCUGCAGUGAGGAAUAUUGGUCAAUGGGCGCAAGUCUGAACCAGCCAAGUAGCGUGAAGGAUGACUGCCCUCCGGGUUGUAAACUUCUUUUAUAAAGGAAUAAAGUGAGGCACGUGUGCCUUUUUGUAUGUACUUUAUGAAUAAGAGUAGGCUAACUCCGUGCCAGCAGCCGCGGUAAUACGGAGGAUCCGAGCGUUAUCCGGAUUUAUUGGGUUUAAAGGGAGCGUAGGGGGGUUGUUAAGUCAGUUGUGAAAGUUUGCGGCUCAACCGUAAAAUUGCAGUUGAUAAUGGCAGCCUUGAGUACAGUUGAGGUAGCAGGAAUUCGUGGUGUAGCGGUGAAAUGCUUAGAUAUCACGAAGAACUCCGAGUGCGAAGGCAGCUUACU
RNAcentral lists this ribosomal RNA (395 nucleotides) under uncultured bacterium. RNAcentral describes it as "partial 16S ribosomal RNA". It matches the Rfam family "Bacterial small subunit ribosomal RNA", at positions 338 to 730 of the family's 1533-position model. The record is from RNAcentral.